GCCCUCAGGCAGUGGGAAGCCAUUCCCCCUUGUCCCGUCCCUCCAUCCCUUUCCAUCCCCAGUCCCUCUCCAGCUCUCCUGGAGCCCCUUUAGGCAUUGGGAGCGGCUCUCAGGUCUCCC
Long non-coding RNA from Lepidothrix coronata (blue-crowned manakin), 120 nucleotides. RefSeq lists it as uncharacterized. The record is from RefSeq and is a predicted model, not a curated record. Lineage: Eukaryota; Metazoa; Chordata; Aves; Passeriformes; Pipridae. The transcript has 3 exons.